AGGUCUUUGGUUUAUUUAAAAAGUGCAGGUUAAAACAGUGCGUUUAAGGCGAUAAUGCAACUUGCAGUUGGUAAUUUUAAUUUCUGUAUUCGGAAUAGUUGCAGACAUGUUUUUUCGUGAUUUAUUCGCUCGACUGCACCCGCACAAUGAAAUUUGCCAAUGGGCGAUUGGAUAAUGUCGGAGCAACCCGAGGCCAUGAUAGCUGUACUUCUCAAGGACACAAUAGAUAAGUAUUAAAGAAAUCGCAGUUAAGGAGGUAGUGGUGUUCGGUGCCAACCUGACCCGAAUUACAUAGCCUGCAGACUCUAUCUUCAAAUGGGGUUCCGUCGUAUCGGCCUGUCUCGACUGGAAACCAGUGGUUAGCAGUCCUGAAUUGGAAUAGGGAAGGUGCUGGUGGAUGCUUGAUGGAAGACUGAUUGCAGCUCAUCAGUUAUGUGCUCUAUGGUCUGCUGCAAUUUGGGGUUGGAUGAGGGUUCUGUCCCCCCACUGGCCUAAUGGCUAUGGUUGCUGUCUGCUGUGGUCCUACUAUGGUUAUUGGACUGUGGAGUGUCCCUAGAGGGCACACGGUUAUCAGUACGCGCAGAAUCCCAGGGGCGUUGGAUGCUGGGCACAGAUGACUGGGUGUUCAGUGGAGUUCUGGGAGAUACUGGAGGAUGAUUACGAGCAUGAGCUUUUGAAGAAUUAGGAGAAGCAGACUGCGAGCGUCUUGAUACGUGUUCGGAAUUGGGAGUUGGAGUAUUGGGAGUGAUGACCAUAGUUGUUUUCCUCUGGUUAGCAGUGGUUGUGAUAGGCUCUGGCGGGAUAUUGUUCCUGGCGCUUUGGGGAGGAGGGACACUGUGUGCCUGAUUCGACCGUGGUACUUCGGGGAUCGUGGCAGUUGGAGUAAUGGGAGUGGCGACCGCAGUUGUGUUCCUCCGGUUGCCAGAGGUUGUGAUAGAAGCUGGCGGGAUAUUGUUCCAGGUGCUUUGGCGAGAACGGAAACUGUGUGCCUGACUCGUCCCGAAGACUUCGGGGAUUGUGCGAACUCUGUUACCGUUGAGAAUUGAGUUCCAAUCAGGAUAUAUGUCCUCGACUACCCUUCCAUCCAUAACUAUUUUUGCAGGGAAGACUAGUGCAAUUUUGCUGCGUGGAUUACUUUCACGGAGUUUUUUGUAUUUUGGCCAGAGCGUUUUCCGAGCUUGUGAGAUUUCUUUAGGGUAGUCUCGGUUUAUGCUGAAGUUUGACCCUGCUAAGUGUUUUGCAUGAGAGAGAACAUCUACUGUGUCUUGAAAGUUCAGGAAGUUCACAAUGAUACCCCUACUGUUGCUUGGAGAGAAUCUUCCAAGGCGGUGGGCUCGCUGGAUUAUUGGACGGUGCGUUAUCUGGAGCUGUUCGUCAAGAAAUUGACCUAUGACAUCAAAACAGUUUUCAUUUCUUUGUUCACCUAUUCCACCAAAUAUGAGGUUAUUUCUUCGGCUCCUUGCCUCGAUGUCAAUGGAUUUGUACUCAAGCAGUUUUAAGCGCUGGUCGUGUUCGGAUAGUGAGCCUUCUAUUGAUGUCAAUUUUGUAUGCAUCUUUAAACAUUCAUCAACCUUGUGAUCGAAAUUCUUCAUUUGUUCAAAUAUUUCUGUAACUUUUCCAUCAAGAGAUAAUUGCUCAAAGUCA
Long non-coding RNA from Dreissena polymorpha, 1644 nucleotides. RefSeq lists it as uncharacterized. NCBI's taxonomy places the organism in Eukaryota, Metazoa, Mollusca, Bivalvia, Myida, Dreissenidae. The record is from RefSeq and is a predicted model, not a curated record. The transcript is spliced from 4 exons.